CUUGGCUGGCCUUGGUGCCAACUGUGGGUGGGACUCAGCUUUGCUCCACACAACACAUCCUCCUCCAGGCACGGGCUUCCUGAGGCAAUGGCUGAGCAGAACAGGUGAUGUCUCUUCAGGUCUCAUCUCGGAACUGUCGUUCAGCUGGAGUACGUAGGGAACACACGCACUCAAGGGGCCAGGCCGGCGGCACAAUGACCAUGAACGUCGUCAGAUCCCAGCCCAUUGUCUGUGUGUGACCUUGACCUUGGACACGCUGCAUAACCUCCUUGGGCCCUGAUCUCCUGAGCCGAACAAUGACCUGCCAGGAACGGAGCCAAACUUCGACCCACGAUGAGAACAGACAUCACCAAAGGAGAUCCGACAAACUUCUCGUCCACGUCCCGCUCUUUGUGGAGCCCACCCGGCCCCGUAAGGCACAUGCCUGCUCAGGUGGAGGAAAGACGGGCCCUCCGCUCUCCCCAGGUUCCUCCAAGGGACAGGCGGAAGAGGAACCAGCAGGAGAGAAGAGACCGGGGCUCUGGCGCACACCAGCCUCUCGCAGCCGAUAUGGAGAGGCGACCUCCAUCGGCUUUGCCUUAUCUCAGGGGCUGCAGUCACCCUUACUCUCCCCCGCAGCUAGGGCUCACGAGCCAUUUCCGUCUCUGGAUCAGAUAUGGGACCAUGAUUUAUUGA
Long non-coding RNA from Zalophus californianus (California sea lion), 675 nucleotides. RefSeq lists it as uncharacterized. The record is from RefSeq and is a predicted model, not a curated record. NCBI's taxonomy places the organism in Eukaryota, Metazoa, Chordata, Mammalia, Carnivora, Otariidae. The transcript has 3 exons.